RNAcentral lists this ribosomal RNA (393 nucleotides) under Boophis albilabris. RNAcentral's name for it is "partial 16S ribosomal RNA". It matches the Rfam family "Bacterial large subunit ribosomal RNA", at positions 2039 to 2597 of the family's 2925-position model. Lineage: Eukaryota; Metazoa; Chordata; Amphibia; Anura; Mantellidae. The record is from RNAcentral.
AAACUGAUCCCUCCGUGAAGAAGCGGAGAUAAACUUAUAAGACGAGAAGACCCCAUGGAGCUUUAAACCCAAUAGCACCCGGUUAUUGUAUAACCUUAUAUAUGUCCGGCCUUUGUCUACUUGGUUUUAGGUUGGGGUGACCACGGAGCAUAAAAAAGCCUCCAUGAAGAAAGGAGUAAGUAUCCUUAUCAGAGAAUGACACUUCCAAGAAUUAAUAAACUAAUUUUUAAUGAUCCGAUAUUCGAUCAACGAACCAAGUUACCCUGGGGAUAACAGCGCAAUCCACCUCAAGAGCCCCUAUCGACAGGUGGGUUUACGACCUCGAUGUUGGAUCAGGGUAUCCCAGUGGUGCAGCAGCUACUGAAGGUUCGUUUGUUCAACGAUUAAAACCCU